RNAcentral lists this transfer-messenger RNA (298 nucleotides) under Alphaproteobacteria bacterium. RNAcentral describes it as "partial transfer-messenger RNA". It matches the Rfam family "Alphaproteobacteria transfer-messenger RNA", at positions 39 to 355 of the family's 355-position model. Rfam says of the family: Bacterial tmRNA, also known as 10Sa RNA or SsrA, is named for its dual tRNA and mRNA-like properties. Its role is to liberate the mRNA from a stalled ribosome. Lineage: Bacteria; Pseudomonadati; Pseudomonadota; Alphaproteobacteria. The record is from RNAcentral.
UGUUCCUUUAAGGAACUAUGAUGCUAAACGGGAAGCGAAAUAUACGCUGUGGACUCGGGGGCGGUACCCGACACCUCCACCAUUUACGGGGGUGAACAAGUUUCGACACGCGUCGUAAAGGCUUUUUCUUGUAUCCGGUAUAGUACCACCGUUAUCGGGCUGUUUUUAUAAAUGCGAAUGAUAAUUUCGCUCCGGUUGCUUUGGCUGCUUAAUGUAGCCUAGCGCCACUUCAAUCCCUUGAACAUUUGAGCGUUUAAGGUGGGGUUUGGGGCUUUCCCAGCAACAGAAAAGUCCCUUU